This 82-nucleotide transfer RNA is filed under the name Pandoraea apista. RNAcentral describes it as "tRNA-Asp". Lineage: Bacteria; Pseudomonadati; Pseudomonadota; Betaproteobacteria; Burkholderiales; Burkholderiaceae. The record is from RNAcentral.
GCCGUUCGUGCGCCAGUUCCGAGGGCGGCACGCUUGUCAUGCGGGCGAAGCGGUGCGUGGGUGCGACCACCGCGCACAGCGC